GGUUAAGCGACUAAGCGUACACGGUGGAUGCCCUGGCAGUCAGAGGCGAUGAAGGACGUGCUAAUCUGCGAAAAGCGUCGGUAAGGUGAUAUGAACCGUUAUAACCGGCGAUGUCCGAAUGGGGAAACCCAGUGCAAUUCGUUGCACUAUCGUUUGAUGAAUACAUAGUCAAACGAGGCGAACCGGGGGAACUGAAACAUCUAAGUACCCCGAGGAAAAGAAAUCAACCGAGAUUCCCCCAGUAGCGGCGAGCGAACGGGGAGCAGCCCGGAGUCUGAAUCAGCUUGUGUGUUAGUGGAAGCGUCUGGAAAGUCGCAGGGUACAGGGUGAUACUCCCGUACACUAAAACACACAGGCUGUGAACUCGAAGAGUAGGGCGGGACACGUGGUAUCCUGUCUGAAUAUGGGGGGACCAUCCUCCAAGGCUAAAUACUCCUGACUGACCGAUAGUGAACCAGUACCGUGAGGGAAAGGCGAAAAGAACCCCGGCGAGGGGAGUGAAAAAGAACCUGAAACCGUGUACGUACAAGCAGUAGGAGCCCACUAGUUGGGUGACUGCGUACCUUUUGUAUAAUGGGUCAGCGACUUAUAUUCUGUAGCAAGGUUAACCGUAUAGGGGAGCCGCAGGGAAACCGAGUCUUAACUGGGCGUUAAGUUGCAGGGUAUAGACCCGAAACCCGGUGAUCUAGCCAUGGGCAGGUUGAAGGUUGGGUAACACUAACUGGAGGACCGAACCGACUAAUGUUGAAAAAUUAGCGGAUGACUUGUGGCUGGGGGUGAAAGGCCAAUCAAACCGGGAGAUAGCUGGUUCUCCCCGAAAGCUAUUUAGGUAGCGCCUCGUGAACUCAUCUUCGGGGGUAGAGCACUGUUUCGGCUAGGGGGUCAUCCCGACUUACCAACCCGAUGCAAACUACGAAUACCGAAGAAUGUUAUCACGGGAGACACACGGCGGGUGCUAACGUCCGUCGUGAAGAGGGAAACAACCCAGACCGCCAGCUAAGGUCCCAAAGUCAUGGUUAAGUGGGAAACGAUGUGGGAAGGCCCAGACAGCCAGGAUGUUGGCUUAGAAGCAGCCAUCAUUUAAAGAAAGCGUAAUAGCUCACUGGUCGAGUCGGCCUGCGCGGAAGAUGUAACGGGGCUAAACCAUGCACCGAAGCUGCGGCAGCGACACUAUGUGUUGUUGGGUAGGGGAGCGUUCUGUAAGCCGUUGAAGGUGGCCUGUGAGGGUUGCUGGAGGUAUCAGAAGUGCGAAUGCUGACAUAAGUAACGAUAAUGCGGGUGAAAAACCCGCACGCCGGAAGACCAAGGGUUCCUGUCCAACGUUAAUCGGGGCAGGGUGAGUCGACCCCUAAGGCGAGGCCGAAAGGCGUAGUCGAUGGGAAACAGGUUAAUAUUCCUGUACUUGGUGUUACUGCGAAGGGGGGACGGAGAAGGCUAUGUUGGCCGGGCGACGGUUGUCCCGGUUUAAGCAUGUAGGCGGAUGUUCCAGGUAAAUCCGGAACGUCACUAACGCUGAGGUGUGAUGACGAGGCACUACGGUGCUGAAGUGACAAAUGCCCUGCUUCCAGGAAAAGCCUCUAAGCAUCAGGUAACAUCAAAUCGUACCCCAAACCGACACAGGUGGUCAGGUAGAGAAUACCAAGGCGCUUGAGAGAACUCGGGUGAAGGAACUAGGCAAAAUGGUGCCGUAACUUCGGGAGAAGGCACGCUGAUGGUAAGUGAAGUGACUUGCUCAUGGAGCUGAAAUCAGUCGAAGAUACCAGCUGGCUGCAACUGUUUAUUAAAAACACAGCACUGUGCAAACACGAAAGUGGACGUAUACGGUGUGACGCCUGCCCGGUGCCGGAAGGUUAAUUGAUGGGGUUAUCCUCACGGAGAAGCUCUUGAUCGAAGCCCCGGUAAACGGCGGCCGUAACUAUAACGGUCCUAAGGUAGCGAAAUUCCUUGUCGGGUAAGUUCCGACCUGCACGAAUGGCGUAAUGAUGGCCAGGCUGUCUCCACCCGAGACUCAGUGAAAUUGAACUCGCUGUGAAGAUGCAGUGUACCCGCGGCAAGACGGAAAGACCCCGUGAACCUUUACUAUAGCUUGACACUGAACACUGGUCCUUGAUGUGUAGGAUAGGUGGGAGGCUUUGAAGUGUGGACGCCAGUCUGCAUGGAGCCAUCCUUGAAAUACCACCCUUUAAUGGCUGGUGUUCUAACGUGGGCCCCUAAUCGGGGUUGCGGACAGUGUCUGGUGGGUAGUUUGACUGGGGCGGUCUCCUCCUAAAGAGUAACGGAGGAGCACGAAGGUCAGCUAAUCCUGGUCGGACAUCAGGAGGUUAGUGCAAUGGCAUAAGCUGGCUUGACUGCGAGCGUGACGGCGCGAGCAGGUGCGAAAGCAGGUCAUAGUGAUCCGGUGGUUCUGAAUGGAAGGGCCAUCGCUCAACGGAUAAAAGGUACUCCGGGGAUAACAGGCUGAUACCGCCCAAGAGUUCAUAUCGACGGCGGUGUUUGGCACCUCGAUGUCGGCUCAUCACAUCCUGGGGCUGAAGUAGGUCCCAAGGGUAUGGCUGUUCGCCAUUUAAAGUGGUACGCGAGCUGGGUUUAGAACGUCGUGAGACAGUUCGGUCCCUAUCUGCCGUGGGCGCUGGAGAAUUGAGGGGGGCUGCUCCUAGUACGAGAGGACCGGAGUGGACGCAUCACUGGUGUUCGGGUUGUCAUGCCAAUGGCAUUGCCCGGUAGCUAAAUGCGGAAGAGAUAAGUGCUGAAAGCAUCUAAGCACGAAACUUGCCCCGAGAUGAGUUCUCCCUGACCCUUUAAGGGUCCUGAAGGAACGUUGAAGACGACGACGUUGAUAGGCCGGGUGUGUAAGCGCAGCGAUGCGUUGAGCUAACCGGUACUAAUGAACCGUGAGGCUUAACCUU
This 2906-nucleotide ribosomal RNA is filed under the name Klebsiella oxytoca. RNAcentral describes it as "23S ribosomal RNA". It matches the Rfam family "Bacterial large subunit ribosomal RNA". The record is from RNAcentral. Lineage: Bacteria; Pseudomonadati; Pseudomonadota; Gammaproteobacteria; Enterobacterales; Enterobacteriaceae.